GGAUAACAGGUUGAUAUUCCUGUACCACCUAUAAUCGUUUUAAUCGAUGGGGGGACGCAGUAGGAUAGGCGAAGCGUGCGAUUGGAUUGCACGUCUAAGCAGUAAGGCUGAGUAUUAGGCAAAUCCGGUACUCGUUAAGGCUGAGCUGUGAUGGGGAGAAGACAUUGUGUCUUCGAGUCGUUGAUUUCACACUGCCGAGAAAAGCCUCUAGAUAGAAAAUAGGUGCCCGUACCGCAAACCGACACAGGUAGUCAAGAUGAGAAUUCUAAGGUGAGCGAGCGAACUCUCGUUAAGGAACUCGGCAAAAUGACCCCGUAACUUCGGGAGAAGGGGUGCUCUUUAGGGUUAACGCCCAGAAGAGCCGCAGUGAAUAGGCCCAAGCGACUGUUUAUCAAAAACACAGGUCUCUGCUAAACCGUAAGGUGAUGUAUAGGGGCUGACGCCUGCCCGGUGCUGGAAGGUUAAGAGGAGUGGUUAGCUUCUGCGAAGCUACGAAUCGAAGCCCCAGUAAACGGCGGCCGUAACUAUAACGGUCCUAAGGUAGCGAAAUUCCUUGUCGGGUAAGUUCCGACCCGCACGAAAGGCGUAACGAUUUGGGCACUGUCUCAACGAGAGACUCGGUGAAAUCAUAGUACCUGUGAAGAUGCAGGUUACCCGCGACAGGACGGAAAGACCCCGUGGAGCUUUACUGUAGCCUGAUAUUGAAAUUCGGCACAGCUUGUACAGGAUAGGUA
RNAcentral lists this ribosomal RNA (734 nucleotides) under Staphylococcus aureus. RNAcentral's name for it is "partial 23S ribosomal RNA". It matches the Rfam family "Bacterial large subunit ribosomal RNA", at positions 1420 to 2149 of the family's 2925-position model. Lineage: Bacteria; Bacillati; Bacillota; Bacilli; Caryophanales; Staphylococcaceae. The record is from RNAcentral.